AGCUUCUGAAUGCUGAUACUAAAUGCUAGAAUUGGAAUGAUACAGAGAAGAUUAACGUGGUCCUUGCACAAGAAUUAGAGUUAUGGUUAUGGUUUAUGGUUUU
Molecule: small nuclear RNA, 103 nt
Organism: Notechis scutatus (mainland tiger snake)
Lineage: Eukaryota; Metazoa; Chordata; Lepidosauria; Squamata; Elapidae
Source: Ensembl